AGGUCCCUCUAAGAGGAGGAGUUGCUCAUUUUAGGGUGGAGCAGGUCCUCCUGUGCCUAUGGGAGCCCAGCACUACACUGGGCCAUGGACUGCCCUUGUGAUGGUCAGGAGGUCAUUCCACUCUCAGCCAGUGCAGCAUGCAAAGCACGACAAGGUGCUUUCCCAUGACCAUUCCUGGGAAAUACACUGCAGGUUCAUCCCAUAAGCAAGAUAACCAGCCUCAGCUGGGAAUCCUUGUGGGCUCUGAAGUGUGCUGGAUGUUACAGCUGUUGUUACUGUCCCUCUCACAUGGCAGGGCAGGGAGAGGCACUUUGGGCAUCUCCUGCUCCCAGUUUUAACAUUCAGUCCUUCUGGUCGGCCAUGGAAAUGUUUGCCCUGGCUGUGAUGGAUGCAGGCUGGCUCAGGGAGACCCUUCUGGGAGGAAGAGCAAAGGGAGGCACAGGGAAGCAAGUGCCUGUUGUAGGGUCAGUAGGGCUGAGCUGGGUUCUGCUGCUCAAAACCAGUGCUCUCCUCUUUCCCACUGUGUUUAUGGUUCAUCCUUUUCAGGGUCAAGCUAUUCCAGGCAUCCCCUGGCAAUGAGCUUUGGCUUCCUCAUGGAGACUUUCCCCAGCAGUCCCAGCCUGGGGAGAGGCACCUGCCUCUGAAGGCUCUGGAGCAGCCGGCCCCGUCUGUGUCCCAGCUUGCCCAGGGGGUGCAGAGCAGUGGCUCCCCAAGAGUCAGCCUGCCUUCCUCCUUGCCUGGCAGCAGAAAUCACCCUCUGGCCUUGCCUCAGCUUUUGAUUCCCAGGCCAACUUGAAUGUAAGCACCAACCAUUGCCCAGUGGGUAUCAGCUUGGAGAAGCCUCUGGCCCAGGUUUGAAUCCAGGGAGAAAAGCAGCAUCUGCGGCGCUUAGAGGGGGACACGGUGUGGCCACGCUCAGCAUUUGCAACGUCUGCC
Long non-coding RNA from Ficedula albicollis (Collared flycatcher), 936 nucleotides. RefSeq lists it as uncharacterized. The record is from RefSeq and is a predicted model, not a curated record. The transcript has 3 exons. NCBI's taxonomy places the organism in Eukaryota, Metazoa, Chordata, Aves, Passeriformes, Muscicapidae.